CGAAACCUGCAUGGGCCACCG
RNAcentral lists this non-coding RNA (21 nucleotides) under Gossypium hirsutum (cotton). The record is from RNAcentral. Lineage: Eukaryota; Viridiplantae; Streptophyta; Magnoliopsida; Malvales; Malvaceae.